Molecule: long non-coding RNA, 400 nt
Filed under: Prunus persica (peach)
Lineage: Eukaryota; Viridiplantae; Streptophyta; Magnoliopsida; Rosales; Rosaceae
Description: long non-coding RNA (PPER_LNC005196)
Source: RNAcentral
UUUAUUUUUAUUUUUAUUUUUUUAGCGAAAUUUGCGUGGUCCUUGUUAGAUUUUCUUCCUUUUAUGAUUGAAUAUUUUAGUCGACAAAAAUACCUUAGGGGGGGAAUAAGAUGGAAUAACUGCGAUGAAAAUAUGGGCAAGUGAAAUUUGAUUGAAUUUGGUACAUGAAAAUAAAAAAAGACGGAAUAAUAAGAUGGAAAUGUGUGUGUGUGUAAACAAAAGGCGUACCCACGAUAGUAACUAAAAGAGUCACACGUAAACAAUGGCAACAAUCCAAAUUCGAAAGUUAACAAAUUGCAUGAAGGAGUUAUGUUAUGGUAAAUUUUAAUUUUCAUCUACUACAUACAUGCAUGCAAUUCGCGCCUUCCAUUUUCCCCAAUAGCUCAAGCUUAAAAGCAAC